GCUGUAUGUGAGUUCAAUAUAGGCUCCAAAGUCUGUUUUUGAACACACAGAAAGGCUGAAGUUAUCCUAGGAGGCAUUGUGAAACCUUUAAAAUAAAAGAAAAUUUAAAUAGAAUCAAUUUAAAUCAAUUUUACUUUUAAAAAUUUAAAAAUUCAUGUGCAGUACUUUUAAGAAAUGGGAAGAAUGCAAAAAUGAGCCAUCUGCAGCUUCCCAGAGAGACGACGAAACCCUGUUGUUCCUUGAACAGGGUAGGGAUGAGGCAGAAUCUAGACUGGCAGAUAACAUCAAGAGCUAUUUCUGGAUGCUAGGGAAAGAGGUUAUUUUUCAGACAAUCUCUCCAAGCAAAC
This 347-nucleotide long non-coding RNA is filed under the name Rhinopithecus bieti (black snub-nosed monkey). Its description in RNAcentral is "lncRNA (ENSRBIG00000045915.1)". Lineage: Eukaryota; Metazoa; Chordata; Mammalia; Primates; Cercopithecidae. The record is from RNAcentral.